CUGGAUAAACUAAUAUGAGUUUCUCUGGAUUCUAAGUUUGUUCUAAUUCCUGCUCUGGGUUGAGUGAAGCAU
Molecule: long non-coding RNA, 72 nt
Organism: Xiphophorus couchianus (Monterrey platyfish)
Lineage: Eukaryota; Metazoa; Chordata; Actinopteri; Cyprinodontiformes; Poeciliidae
Exons: 3
Source: RefSeq, a predicted model, not a curated record